AAUGAAAGUACUGUUGGCAAUGUAAGCACAUAGACUUCUAGAUUAAUGCUUACAUUUCCCUCUUUACAGCAAAACCAAAAAAAAAAAUGAAGUGUUGGUAAUGCAAAGAUCAACCAAUAUUUGAUAAUAACAUGGACAUUUGAAAAAUGAGGUAGCUAGCUCCAUCUCUCUCCUUCUCUCAAUGCAUUCAUGUAUGGUGAUCCCGUCACUUACCAAACACUUCAGAUAUUGGUGUGGGAUCGAUCGCACGGCGAUCCCUUCAACUGUGGUUGUCAG
RNAcentral lists this long non-coding RNA (276 nucleotides) under Populus tremula. RNAcentral describes it as "long non-coding RNA (PTRE_LNC001061)". The record is from RNAcentral. Lineage: Eukaryota; Viridiplantae; Streptophyta; Magnoliopsida; Malpighiales; Salicaceae.